AUUGAACGCUGGCGGCAGGCCUAACACAUGCAAGUCGAGCGGAUGACGGGAGCUUGCUCCUUGAUUCAGCGGCGGACGGGUGAGUAAUGCCUAGGAAUCUGCCUGGUAGUGGGGGACAACGUUUCGAAAGGAACGCUAAUACCGCAUACGUCCUACGGGAGAAAGCAGGGGACCUUCGGGCCUUGCGCUAUCAGAUGAGCCUAGGUCGGAUUAGCUAGUAGGUGAGGUAAUGGCUCACCUAGGCGACGAUCCGUAACUGGUCUGAGAGGAUGAUCAGUCACACUGGAACUGAGACACGGUCCAGACUCCUACGGGAGGCAGCAGUGGGGAAUAUUGGACAAUGGGCGAAAGCCUGAUCCAGCCAUGCCGCGUGUGUGAAGAAGGUCUUCGGAUUGUAAAGCACUUUAAGUUGGGAGGAGGCUCUUUUGGUUAAUACCCAAGAUGAGUGGACGUUACUCGCAGAAUAAGCACCGGCUAACUCUGUGCCAGCCGCCGCAGUAA
This 501-nucleotide ribosomal RNA is filed under the name uncultured bacterium. Its description in RNAcentral is "partial 16S ribosomal RNA". It matches the Rfam family "Bacterial small subunit ribosomal RNA", at positions 30 to 523 of the family's 1533-position model. The record is from RNAcentral.